GAUGAAGAACGUAGCGAAAUGCGAUAAGUAAUGCGAAUUGCAGAAUUCCAGUGAGUCAUCGAAUCUUUGAACGCACAUUGCGCCCUUUGGUAUUCCGAAGGGCAUGCCUGUUCGAGCGUCAUUAUCACCCCUCAAGCCCUCGGCUUGGUGUUGGACGGUUUGGUGGAGGCCCCCUCGGGGGCUCCUGCCCCUCCCAAAGACAAUGACGGCGGCCUCGUUGGACCCCCGGUACACUGAGUUCUUCACGGGACACGUAUCGGACACAUGGGUUUACGGGACACGGUCUGCCUCCCCUCAGGGAGAAUCUUUCUAAGGUUGACCUCGGAUCAGGUAGGGAUACCCGUUGAACUUAAGCAUAUCAAUAAGCGGAGGA
This 373-nucleotide unclassified non-coding RNA is filed under the name soil metagenome. Its description in RNAcentral is "partial contains 5.8S ribosomal RNA, internal transcribed spacer 2, and large subunit ribosomal RNA". The stretch from base 1 to 121 matches the Rfam family "5.8S ribosomal RNA", at positions 35 to 154 of the family's 154-position model. The record is from RNAcentral.